GAUGAAGAACGUAGUGAAAUGCGAUAAGUAAUGUGAAUUGCAGAAUUCAGUGAAUCAUCGAAUCUUUGAACGCACAUUGCGCCCCUUGGUAUUCCGAGGGGCAUGCCUGUUCGAGCGUCAUUAUAACCCCUCAAGCUCAGCUUGGUGUUGGGGCCUGCUGCACUGACAGCCCUUAAAAUCAGUGGCGGCGCCAUCUGGCUCUAAGCGUAGUAAUUCUUCUCGCUAUGGAGUCCUGGUGGAUGCUUGCCAUCAACCCCCAAUUUUUCUAUGGUUGACCUCGGAUCAGGUAGGGAUACCCGCUGAACUUAAGCAUAUCAAUAAGCGGAGGA
Molecule: unclassified non-coding RNA, 329 nt
Filed under: soil metagenome
Description: partial contains 5.8S ribosomal RNA, internal transcribed spacer 2, and large subunit ribosomal RNA
Rfam family: 5.8S ribosomal RNA (bases 1-120)
Source: RNAcentral